AAAUCAAGAGACAUUCAACUCAAAUAAAGACCCAUAAUCAAUCACUCUGCAUUCUUGAUGCGUCUUCACUUGGUCAUUCCAAUGGUAAAGAACCAAUUGUUUUAAACCUCUUGUUUUCUUCACUUACUCAAACGAUAAAGAACCAUCUGCUUCCUCAACUGAGGUAAAGCUGUGUCUGCAACUUUGAGACCUUCCUCAUAGAUCAUUUGCUCUUACUUGCUCCUCUCGUGCUCUUGGAGGAAUCCCAAGUCCGGUCCUUACAUUAGUUCCCAUUUCUAUAAGGUCCUCCACCUUGUGGAACCCAGAGGCUUGAAGGGCAGCAACAGACGCGGAGGCAGCGGAGCCGACGAAGAGAGAGGCGACCGCGAAGGCUUUAAAAGGCAUUAGGCGAGAGUCGCCGGCGUAGCCUUUCCGAUAUGAUGACGUGCCCCAAACGAAUUGGGUACAGCUUGCCAAGGCCCACCACCACCACCCCGGGAUCCCAUGGCCGUCCUCUCCAGCACGGCUGCUCCCGUCGGCGUCCAUUUU
RNAcentral lists this unclassified non-coding RNA (528 nucleotides) under Hevea brasiliensis (rubber tree). Lineage: Eukaryota; Viridiplantae; Streptophyta; Magnoliopsida; Malpighiales; Euphorbiaceae. The record is from RNAcentral.